Long non-coding RNA from Podarcis muralis (Common wall lizard), 2725 nucleotides. RefSeq lists it as uncharacterized. The record is from RefSeq and is a predicted model, not a curated record. Lineage: Eukaryota; Metazoa; Chordata; Lepidosauria; Squamata; Lacertidae.
UGAGGAGGGCUGGGCGGGGACCCCCUUGGCAACAGUGGCCAGGAUUCCUAUUGCUGGCUCCCCCCAGCCCCCACUUGAAAGGCUGCUUUUUAGAUUGGGUCAAUUCCAGACCAUUUGUUAUUGAUAUAUGAAGAUCCUGGGGGAUUAUAGUAAUGUAUUUUUCAUCCCACUGUGAUAGAAUCAUAUAAGGAAAAUGGGUCUGAAUGUUAAGUACAAAUUGAAAGAGACAUGGUCAUUUAAGAUAAGGAGUUAUCUGUAUACAAGGAAAUGCUAUCAGGGAAAUAGACCACUGCUUGACAGAAAUAAAUUUUGCUUUGUGCCCCCCCCCCACCUGGGCUGCUUUCCAUGAUUUAGCUCCAGCCCCACCUUGGCAGGGUCUCCCCUCCGUGUGUGGUGGAAUCUGGGGGCAAAUGGAUCACCCCGGUUGCUUCCCCAGAGCUUCUUAAAGCACAGGAUUGUGGACUGAGCUGCUGCUGCUGCACGAUCUGGCGGGAUCCAGUCCCAGUUCCACGCUGGCAUCUUCAUGCACACUGGCGAGACUUUGGAUCAUGCUCCCUGGAGGUUUCUGGCAAUUCCCAAGGCUGCGGUGCUGAGUCCUGACUUGGAGGCAGGAGGCCCAAGGCACCAGUGGGUGUGAGAGACAGGGAGCUUUUACAAGGUGAAUUCCCUCAAGGCCGAUUUCUUUUUUGCACGUGGUCCACAAUUCUUGAUCUGUGCACAUGGCAGGUGUGUAUUUUUAGCUGUCGCUGGCCUCUUUGAAAUGCACAUGAUCAGGAGACAAGCGCCCUUGCACCAGGAAAGACAGACAUCAGGCCCUAAGUUGCGGGGAGGGGAAGGCAUGGGAAAGUCCUUAACAGGAUUCACCCAAAGCAUUUAAAUUGGUGAGGAGGGCCCUCCUCUGCAUUCAGCGCGAAGGGCUUUGUUUUUGUUUGUACAUGUUGCUGCUCCCCUGCCUGCAUAAUGACACAACACAGUUCAGGAAAGGUUGCACCAAAUGCUGCUUCUGUGUGGCUGAAUCAGUGCUGUGAUUAGCAAGACUAUGGAGCCCCCUGCCACUAGAGAGUUGUCUGUGGGCUGGGGUGUGCGAGAGAGAGAUGGCCUGGUGAUGGGACCUGCUUACCCAGGUGAGCUCUAGCAACAGAACAUGUGCAGGUGGCAGAUCCAAAGAGAAGAAUUAUGGUAUCUUCUGUGGCACAAGAGGGAACUGCUUGUCAGACCUCAGGCCGCCACCUGUGUCAACAUGGCAACCUCUAGAAACCCAGAUGACAUCCUUCUGCCUCCCCACAGAGGGGCCUGCAGUCCUCUGAGGGGCCAUCAGCAAGGACUCUCCCUGCCAUUUGAGCGACAAGGUCAAAUGCCCAGAUUUUCCAUGGAGGAGCAAUUCAGGCUCUGAAUUCCAGCAAGUGCAGCAAUUUUUCAAUUUCUGCCCUGGACGUCCAUUCCGCCUUUACAAUCCCAGUAAUGUCUGGGAAAAUCCAGGCGUAUGGCAGCCCUAGGAAACCGAUCAGCUCAACGCCUGAGGAGUGUCAGCAUCUCUCUCAGACCUUCCCCCAGGACCUCCACACUUACCCCAAACACACCUCCCGGAGGCUUUUAACAUGCUCUUUCCACAGAGAGGAGCUCCAGACAUAACUCCACUGAUUCCACCACGCCCCCCCCCACCGCCCCACAUGCUCAAAAAAGAAGCAGCCAGCUACAAAAUAGGAGAGGGACCACAUGCAAAAGGGCUUCAGUCCCAUGGAAGGAGAGAAGCCCCCUCGGAAGGCUUCUAUUGACAGUGAGAUGGAAUAGGCCUUAUUUAGUUGGGCAGGACUGCCCCCUCCCCCAUUUUUAAUUAUAUCAUGCUGGGCUCUUUUUUACAAUCCCAUUUCACCCACAGCACUAUUGAGGCCUGGGAGACUUAAAAAUGGACCCCGAGAGAAUUCAGAGCAUUUGGGGUGUGCUGAAAACCCUGUCCUGAAAGAUGCACUCCCAAAAGAAAGAAACAGACUCCACCAUCCUAGAUUUAUUUUUUUUUUGCGGGGGGGGGGGGAAUCUGUGCUGCUGAGUAUUCCUGCCCCAAUGUGAGGCUCUUCUGUGGGGCUCCCUCCUCUGUGGUCCCAGCAGAGGGGCUGGGUCUGCCCCCUUUCGGCCUCUGACUGCCAGGGGGGCUUUUUCUUCUCUAGGACAAACCACGGUUUCUAAAGCAGGGUCCCUCUGGCAAAUGAAAAGGAUCACCCCAUCUUAUGUGAAUAGCGCCUGCAAAGACACAACGUGGUUUGGAGGGGGGGGGUUGAUGGAGAGGAGAGAGAGAAAAAGAAAGGCCGGUAAUAAAAUGCUAUUCAGGGAAGCACAAUCUCUGCGAAACAGGGGCCCAUUGAGAUGACAGCCUGAAACCCAUUUGCUAAGCACGGCAAUGGGCCCUUUUGUAACCUCUUUCCUUCUGUUGACAGUUACCUUUCAAUCUGACAAUUGUGCACUAAGUACUGAUCUUUAUUCAAUGUUCUAUUCACCCUGCGUAUUAAUGAAGGGGGGGGGAGAAGAACUUGUAAGAAUAGCCUUUAAUGGGCUGAUAGACAAGGCACCCUUCUUCUCCCUCCGAAGCUCCCCUUAUCAGCCUCUCCCAGUCCUGUCGCUCCCCUGACCACCUUCCUGCAGCUCCCCUCCGCCAGCUCUUCCCGGGUUCAGAUGGCAAAGCUUUCCUUUCCAGGCUCUCACUGACCUGUCCUAGUGCUGGAGGGGGCGG